GACGAACGCUGGCGGCGCGCCUAACACAUGCAAGUCGAACGAGCGAGAGAGAGCUUGCUUUCUCGAGCGAGUGGCGAACGGGUGAGUAACGCGUGAGGAACCUGCCUCAAAGAGGGGGACAACAGUUGGAAACGACUGCUAAUACCGCAUAAGCCCACGACCCGGCAUCGGGUAGAGGGAAAAGGAGCAAUCCGCUUUGAGAUGGCCUCGCGUCCGAUUAGCUAGUUGGUGAGGUAACGGCCCACCAAGGCGACGAUCGGUAGCCGGACUGAGAGGUUGAACGGCCACAUUGGGACGAAGAAACGGCCCAGAAUCCUACGGGAGGCAGCAGUGGGGAAUAUUGCACAAUGGGGGAAACCCUGAUGCAGCGACGCCGCGUGGAGGAAGAAGGUCUUCGGAUUGUAAACUCCUGUUGUUGAGGAAGAUAAUGACGGUACUCAACAAGGAAGUGACGGCUAACUACGUG
Molecule: ribosomal RNA, 466 nt
Filed under: uncultured bacterium
Lineage: Bacteria
Description: partial 16S ribosomal RNA
Rfam family: Bacterial small subunit ribosomal RNA
Source: RNAcentral